UGCUCAGACUGAAGUCUGAACGCAACAGUUUCAAGAAUACAACAACGUAAUCUGCUGUAGUGAUCGGUGUUGGCCAAGGGGUGAAUUUAAAUAAAAAGGAUUUGUCGGUCAAACCUUACCAGUAACUGAUUAGUUUGAACUCACCAUAUGCUGCAUUUAGAGAUGUGGUCUCUCUCUCUCUCUCUCUCUCUCUCUCUCUCUCUCUCUCUCUCUGUGCAUCUCCAAGUGUAUCAGCUUCUUCAUACACACUCAGCUUUGUUACACACAUUUUACAAAGCGGUCUACCCCCACCCGCAAGUUUCAUGUGAUCUGGUUCCUUCACGCUCUUAAAACAUGCUAGCUGGCACUACAAAAAUAACACACUGACACUAUCAGUAUCAGGUAUCGUUCUGCUACACUACUCACAAUCAUGUUCUUAUACUACAGUGCCUGUAGUGUGUUGUGGUGAAGAGGUAGUUGAGCUGCGAGGUGAAGCUUUGUUUACCCAUCAGUCUACGUUCCUACCCUCAUCUGUGGGUAGUGACUAAAAGAAUGGUGUGGAAAUGAGUUUUGUUGACAGGUUGGCUGGACUCUCCCUGAGAGAAAGUUUGAUUAUGUGGAAGAGACUCAAAGUAGAGCCACUGCUCCUCCACAUCAAGAGGAGCCAGUUGAAAUGGUUCAGGCAUCUGGAAAGGAUGCAACCUGGAUACCUCCCUAGAGAGAUGUUACGGAUACGUCCACAACAAGGAAAAGACCAUGGAGAAGACCCAGGACACACCAGAGACUACAUGUCUCAAUUGGUCUGGGAAUGCCUUGGAGUCCUCCCAGAAAGAUGGGACUGUGGAAAGAAAGGUCUGGAGUUCCCCAGCUACUGACCGUCAACAACCAUGAGUUAGCGUCAGUUCACACCAUUCUGAGUGUCAGUCUUGGAGCUGAUUUGUGACACCUGGCUGUGCCGCAAAGCUGACCCUGUAUGACGUCAAUAGAAAAAACCCUGGCAUGGACCAAUUACUGCCAUGGAUUUCAUGGUUCAUGAAGAUAAGUUCACGUUCAACACACUAAUGUUGUCACCUUGUACUGAUUGUCUGUAAGUCAAAUAAGUAAUAAUAAUAAGUAAAAUGUCCUCAUUGCUCUGUUGCAGACAGGAGAGCUCUGCAAAGAGUGGUGAAGGCGGCACAAAGGACUGUUGGAGCCAACCUCCCCACUGCCACAGACAUAUACACCUCCAGAUGCAGAAAAAGGGCCUCCUGCAUCAUGAAGGACCCUACUCACCCAGCACACUCACUUUUUGUCCCGCUCCCCUCAGGUAGGAGGUUGCGGAGCAUCAAAUGCAGGACAACCAGACUGAGAAACAACUUCAUUCCAGAAGCUGUGCGACUCUUAAACUCCCAUCACUCUCCCUUAUUGCACUGCUCUUAGCUAUACACUUUUCCUACCUGUAAUAUUGUGCUCUUGUAGCGACUUUAUAUUUUAUAUUUUAUACUUUAACAUUUUAUAUAUUUUUUAUAUUUUUUUAUUUGGAUGUAACUGGGGCUGUGACUCUUAAUUUCGUUCCAUCUCAUGUAACAUGUGAUGUGAAUGACAAUAAAGUAUCUUGAAUCUUGAA
Molecule: long non-coding RNA, 1585 nt
Organism: Austrofundulus limnaeus
Lineage: Eukaryota; Metazoa; Chordata; Actinopteri; Cyprinodontiformes; Rivulidae
Exons: 2
Source: RefSeq, a predicted model, not a curated record